AGAUAUUUGACUCUGCACACCUGCGUGACCCCCUGCAAAGUUUUUCUUCGAUUGGUUUUGACGGUGGGACGUCUUACCUUUUCAACGGCUGGUAAAGGUCCUUAAUGAAAGGUGUGUUUUGUGUUCCUGCCAAGGUGCUUUACUCACAAUAGUAGCAAUUGAUCAGAGACAAACCCAUGAUUGCAGAGUUCACUGAUGGCCAGGACGGUUCACUGUGCCUGAGGUGGAAGCAGAAUUUCUGAGGAUUACCACUGUUCCCCUCGUCACAACGUUUUUUGCACAACUUGACCACCACGCUGAUCAGCUCAUCAGAGUGCUGAAGAAGACAGGUGGAUCUAAAGGAAAGAAAAUUAACCUCACCUUUGCCCCGACUGCACCGAAUGAAACCGUUGAAAAGAAGAGGGAGUGCCUCCUCAGGGCACUUUGUAUCUAAAUGGAGAUCCAAGCAGUCUCUUCAAAGAGUAUCUGGAUUCAGAUGGCUGUGCUGCCCAGAGGGACCUUGAACAAGUUGUCUUUGGCAUCUACAGCAUUAAUGCUGAGGGAGGUGAUGCCACCACCACUCCAGUUGAUGUUGGAAUAGUGAUUGAGGGUGUUGAAGUGCUUCACGACUUGGGAGACAUCGCUUCUGCAUGUGCACUCUUAAUGGGUGUCAUAUAUGCAAUGAACCUCAGUUAUCCUCAGGAACUCAAAACGUUCUUUGAGGUGCUUCAGAAAAUCUUCCUCCAGCUGGAUGCUACCAGACUCUCAACCAAGGUACAGAUGCUUAAAAACAAACUGUAUGAGUGAACCAACAUUGAGCGUGUGGCGUUUAACAUGAAGGCCUGAAAACUGACACUUGAAACCAUUUAAUUGAAAAACACUUAAGUUUAUAUACCUUUUUUUUUCUUCUU
Molecule: long non-coding RNA, 890 nt
Organism: Sinocyclocheilus rhinocerous
Lineage: Eukaryota; Metazoa; Chordata; Actinopteri; Cypriniformes; Cyprinidae
Exons: 6
Source: RefSeq, a predicted model, not a curated record